Molecule: ribosomal RNA, 388 nt
Filed under: Ouroborus cataphractus
Lineage: Eukaryota; Metazoa; Chordata; Lepidosauria; Squamata; Cordylidae
Description: partial 12S ribosomal RNA
Rfam family: Bacterial small subunit ribosomal RNA
Source: RNAcentral
CCCCACUAUGCCCAGCCAUAAACCUAGAUAGAAAAAUACCAUCUAUCCGCCAGAGAACUACAAGCAAAAUACUUAAAACUCAAAGGACUUGGCGGCAUUCCACAUCAACCUAGAGGAGCCCGUCCAAUAAUCGAAAACACGCGCUCAACCCUACCAUUUUUGGCCACUCCAGCCUAUAUACCGCCGUCGUCAGCUAACCUUGUGAAAGAAAAGUAGUAAGCACAAUAACCCUCGCUAAAACGUCAGGUCAAGGUGUAGCUAAUAAAAUGGUUGCGAUAGGCUACAUUUUCUAGUAUAGAAAAUUAACGAAAAUUACAAUGAAAUCUUGUAAUCGAAGGCGAAUUUAGUAGUAAAAUGAGUAAAUGAUCCUCAUUUUAACGCCGCUCCG